GCCGGGGUGGCGGAACUGGCAGACGCACAGGACUUAAAAUCCUACGGUGAGUGAUCACCGUACCGGUUCGAUUCCGGUCCUCGGCACCA
Molecule: transfer RNA, 89 nt
Filed under: Staphylococcus aureus
Lineage: Bacteria; Bacillati; Bacillota; Bacilli; Caryophanales; Staphylococcaceae
Also listed under: 2 other names
Description: tRNA-Leu
Rfam family: tRNA
About the family: Transfer RNA (tRNA) molecules are approximately 80 nucleotides in length.
Source: RNAcentral